UACGGAGGGCGCAAGCGUUACUCGGAAUUAUUGGGCGUAAAGGGCGCGUAGGCGAUUCGAUAAGUCUCAUGUGAAAUCCCAGGGCCUAACCCUGGAAUGGCAUGGGAUACUGUUGGAUUUGAGUUCCGUAGAGGAAGGCAGAAUUCCCGGUGUAGCGGUGAAAUGCGUAGAUAUCGGGAGGAAUACCAGUGGCGAAGGCGGCCUUCUGGACGGAUACUGACGCUGAGGCGCGAAAGCCAGGGGAGCAAACGGG
Molecule: ribosomal RNA, 253 nt
Filed under: uncultured bacterium
Lineage: Bacteria
Description: partial 16S ribosomal RNA
Rfam family: Bacterial small subunit ribosomal RNA
Source: RNAcentral